This 431-nucleotide ribosomal RNA is filed under the name uncultured archaeon. RNAcentral describes it as "bacterial SSU rRNA". It matches the Rfam family "Archaeal small subunit ribosomal RNA", at positions 474 to 903 of the family's 1478-position model. The record is from RNAcentral.
UACCUGCAGCUCAAGUGGUGACCGCUAUUAUUGGGCCUAAAACGUCCGUAGCCGGCUGAGUAAAUGCCUGGGUAAAUCGUGUGGCUUAACCAUACGAAUUCCGGGUAGACUGCUUAGCUUGGGACCGGAAGAAGUUAGAGGUACUCCUGGGGUAGGGGUGAAAUCCUGUAAUCCUGGGGGGGACCACCAGUGGCGAAGGCGUCUAACUAGGACGGGUCUGACGGUGAGGGACGAAGCCCUGGGGCGCAAACCGGAUUAGAUACCCGGGUAGUCCAGGGUGCAAACGCUGCUUGCUUGAUGUUAGCUGGGCUCCGAGCUCGGCUAGUGUCGGAGAGAAGUUGUUAAGCAAGCUGCCUGGGAAGUACGGUCGCAAGACUGAAACUUAAAGGAAUUGGGCGGGGGAGCACAGCAACGGGUGGAGCGUGCGGUUU